UACAUAGGGUGCAAGCGUUGUCCGGAAUUAUUGGGCGUAAAGAGCUCGUAGGCGGUUUGUCGCGUCUGCUGUGAAAACUCGGGGCUUAACCCCGGGCCUGCAGUGGGUACGGGCAGACUAGAGUGCGGUAGGGGAGACUGGAAUUCCUGGUGUAGCGGUGAAAUGCGCAGAUAUCAGGAGGAACACCGGUGGCGAAGGCGGGUCUCUGGGCCGUAACUGACGCUGAGGAGCGAAAGCGUGGGGAGCGAACAGG
This 253-nucleotide ribosomal RNA is filed under the name uncultured bacterium. RNAcentral's name for it is "partial 16S ribosomal RNA". It matches the Rfam family "Bacterial small subunit ribosomal RNA", at positions 524 to 776 of the family's 1533-position model. The record is from RNAcentral.